UAAAUUGCAAUGAGUUAACACGUAAGAAGAGGACUCUUUGUGAGAUCUUUCUUCUAUGAAAUAUAUAUCUUACACUUGUCAUCAUUAC
Molecule: non-coding RNA, 88 nt
Organism: Arabis alpina (gray rockcress)
Lineage: Eukaryota; Viridiplantae; Streptophyta; Magnoliopsida; Brassicales; Brassicaceae
Source: Rfam